Long non-coding RNA from Haemorhous mexicanus (house finch), 1390 nucleotides. RefSeq lists it as uncharacterized. The transcript has 3 exons. The record is from RefSeq and is a predicted model, not a curated record. Lineage: Eukaryota; Metazoa; Chordata; Aves; Passeriformes; Fringillidae.
UCGAAGUCUGUAAAAUGAAUAUGUAUGAACCUAUUGUGAAAUUGUAUGCAUAUGUAUUUGGGGAGAAAGAUAAAAAGGGGACCUGAAGAUCCCAGAAGUACGCAUGCCUUUUAAGGGGAGUAAUCCCCGCAUGCGUUCAGCGCUGCAAUAAACAUACCGGCUUUACAACUCUUACAAAGUUGUGGAGUUUUUGAUUUUCUCCGCAAAACAUUCUGGCGAGCCAGGCAGGAGAUUCCGUCUCUGUCCCCGCAGGGCAGAAGGGAUAGAGGGACCUCCUAGGCGCGCCCCGGGAUCUUCCCGCAGGAGCUCCGCUGUCCGCUUUGCCUUCUGCGGAGACAGACAAGGACCUGCUGGCGUGCGGAGGAUUCGAGAUAUGAAUGAAAUAUUGAACUAAAUAUCAGUCAUACCCUUCAAAAGCAGACAGUGACUGUGGACCUCCAGGGCUGAAUCCAUUCUCUUCAGCAUAAGCUAAAUAACCAAGCUCCUAGGCACUUGUGAGACAAGAACAGUUGUAAAGUCUACUACCCAGGUUUUUUUAAAGAACAUUUUCCUUCUCACUCUCUAUUGAGCUUGAAGUUUGUGGUUUCCAUUUCACACCUGAAGAGAGAUUUGCAUGCCUAAAACAUUCUUUUUUUGCGUCUUAUUGCCUUGAUGAAAAGACAUUACCUCUCCCUACAGCACUUGCCUGCAUGUGUCCUGAGAGAAAAAAAUGCAAACUGUAAUGACAGCACCCCACAACUGGCUCAACUAGGAAACCCUCACAGAAAAGAUUACCCUUAGAGUGAGCCAAUGUUUUGCCUAGUCUGACAUGUCAGGUUUUGACCCUGUGCUUCCAAUAUAAAGCCCUCCCAGAAGAAUUGAAUCAAAAUAUCUCAGCUUAAUCAACAUCAUAUUUAUGUAUAAAACAGACUUAUUGAGCUUUUGGUAAGUGACCUAGUAACAAAAGCAAGGUGUCAAAGGAUUUACCCUUUCAUACUCAGUGUGGGCCAACAAGCCAAUAUAUCAUCUGCGUUGCAAAGCAAAUGAACAAUGCUGAGACCAUUAAUCAGCUUGUCCAAGUGAAUAAAAUUUCAAAAGCUGAUGUAAAAGCUUGGCUUUCAAAGCAAACAUUUCAUGUGGAUCUGCAUGUCCAUCUAAUGAUGGAUUAGUUAACCCUGAGAGAUGAAGAAGACUCCAGCCCUAUGUUUGAGGGGGCAAUGUCUGUAAAUCUGACUAAGUACAGAGAAAGAUUGUAAAGAAAUUAGAGAUAUGGGAAGUAGUUUUACAAAAGUUGGUCGCCUGCCAUUGGUGUCUCAAACUUCAGUGCAUGAUAUUAAACACAAUGAAUAAAAAACACCUUGUUUUGAGUCCUAUCCACAGGCUGCAAGUUGUGAUUAAAUGUAUGUUUUUU